RNAcentral lists this long non-coding RNA (537 nucleotides) under Zea mays. RNAcentral describes it as "long non-coding RNA (ZMAY_LNC003879)". Lineage: Eukaryota; Viridiplantae; Streptophyta; Magnoliopsida; Poales; Poaceae. The record is from RNAcentral.
GGAGAUCCAGGUGAACGUCGCCCAAGGAGUCAGACGGAUUCACCGUACGUUUCGACCGUGGUUGCCCACCCUAAACAACCCCGGCGACCAACUAACCAUAUGGCGAUUCCCAGCGUGUAGGUAAUAGUGCAGAAAGGGCGCUCACCCGAGUCCGUGAUGAUGAUGGCGCAAUACACGAAGAGGUGCGGAGACGGUGCUCCGACAAGAAAUUGCCGCGGCUGGAUCGGCAAUCCAGCCCUAGAAUUCCCACGGGUAGUCACACGAUGUCUCUGGGGAAGCCCAGACCACGGCCAAUAGGUUUCUACGGCGGUGUACGGGGAAGUCAAUGGCGGCGGCCUCCAGCUGGGGUGAGGCUCUUGGUUCUUCGUAGGUUAGAGGAUUCGGAUGGUUAGGGUUACUAGAGGAGAGGUGGCGCAUGACAGCUUUAUGGCAAGCGGAGUAUGAACUCGCCAGCAACGACGCCGACGGAAAAGGGGGAAAGUUCGCUGCAGAUCUCGCGUGGUUUGUUGCCGCGACAGCGCAAAGGGAUGACAGGUG